AGCAGGUAUAGUAUAAAUGCAAUUAAGAAACCUUUCAAUUUGGGGCCUUUUUUUGAUUGGUUACCCACCAAAGACGCAAGGUAUUAUGGGGAUGUGAAAGUAGAGAAUUGCCUUUUACAUUUUUGUAAACACAUAGAGAUUUGAUAUGCAUGCCAAGCAUCUUUUAUUAUCAUUAUUUCAAAAAAAAAUUUAUACGUUUUCUUUUCACUGAAAAUUUUUAGUAUGUGUGAGGUAACAAGAGAAGAAAAGUUAUAGAAAUGCCCCAGCUGAUUUCCCCUUUUGAACUCAAGAAUAUAAAUAAGUAAAGUGGGAUUGGUUCUUAGCAAAAAGGAUCUGCCAACCAUCCCUUUUAAGCUUUCCAAUGUUAAAAAAAUAAUUGUAUAUUUUUCAAUAAUGUUUUGAGAACCAUGCCUGUACAGAGAGGUACUGUAUUUAACUUCUGCAGUGUGGGAUACAGCUUUGACUAGAGAAGUGUGGGCAUGCAGGCUAUGUCAACUAACUGAAACCAUGUGACGAAACUAAUGAGAAAUUGAAUGAAGUAAAUGAAAGACUACCAAGUUGUAUGCCUGAAUGAAUCUGGACCUUAAUGGGUACUUUGUGACCAAAAAGAGUGAAGCAAUGCUGGUGUGAUCUUUUUACGUCGUGUACUGUAACCUGCAGACUAGGAAAUUUAUCAUUUUUUUUGAAUGCCCGAAAGUGUUUGGAUGUUUCCUUUUUGACGGAAGAGAGUGAAACUGGUGGUGUGUCCUUACCUUGUGAACUGUACUCGUGAGAAAGAUGUAACACUGUGGAAUGGAGUGAGUAAAAGACUACCAUUGCUGUCUACACAAUGACAAGUUGUACUGUAUGCCUGAACAAGUACGGAUCUUGGUGUGUACGUUUUUGACUGAUGAGAGUGAAGCAAUAUUGUUGUGUCCUUGUAUUAAUGCCAAGUCUGAAUAGAGUGAAAACACUACCAUUGCAUUCUACAUGACAAGUUGUAUUCUUAAAUAUGUCUGGAUCUUGAGUUUUUUUGAUGAGAAAAAAGGAAUGGUGCAGCUUAGACAGUGAAACUCCUUGCGUUUUUCUUUAAAAGUUAUAGAACAAGAUACAUCACAAACUAGGCUGAAAUAUGUACUUUCCAAAAAGAGAUACAGUGUUCGUGGAAAAAGAGUGAGAAAAUAUACCAGAGUGAUCUGCGAGAAAUAUAUCUCAAACAAGACACAUGGUGUGGCAUCCUAUUCCUGAAUGGUGAAUAUACUUGAUGAAAAAGAUUUAACCAGUUCAAUGUUAUUCAACCCUGAGAAGAUACAACAUUAUUGGUGGAAGAGAGAGUGAAGGUUUACCAGAGAGUGUUCCAUGAGAAAGGUAUAAUGGUACAUGUUGUAUGGUCCGAGGCAGAGUAGAGAAGAGUACUGUCAAGUUUGUGUAAGUAUUAAAAGAAUGGUGAGGUCAACGAAUGCUGUGUAUUCUAGAGGACAACUUGGUGUGUUCCCAGAAGAGUUGUAACAUAUUGUAGUAGCGAGAUGACAGAAACUGUCUGGAAUGAUCUGUAAGUACUUGACAAUGAGAUGGUUGUGCUUUUGUGGAGCGAAUUAUCAAGGCUUCUAAAUAGACAUCUCUUUUAAAAAAAUAUUAAUUUUGAUUCAGUGAUUGUUUUAAUUGUAGGUAUCAAAAGUUAUGACAUAAUAAGCCUGAAGUGAGAUGACAUUUUACCCCCGUCUCUAGACCAUGAUCCUUUUCACACUGCUUUUGUUCUUUAAUUAUGACUUGUUCCUGUAUUCCCUAAGGAAUCAAAAAUUUUAUAUGAAAGAAUCUUAAAAACUAUUAUGGUAUGGAGUCGGGGGUAAAACGUCAUCUUGCUUCAGGCUUAUUUUUGGGUUAAAAACCCACUUUAAAAAAUUUAGCUGUAAGGAAGUUUGGAUGACAGAGCAACAAUAUUAAUUUUUUCUUUGUAUCAGUUGAAGAUCUGUUAGUUGUGUUGCAGUAUUUUACGUAUUGUGUUUUUGGUUUUUCUAAAAUCUGUUUCUGUUUUUAGGUUAAGCAUAAUGAAAAGUGAACCAAGUUAUGCUUGGAACAUCCAAAAAGUAGUGCCUCAAAAUGUUCAGAUAGCCAUUGUGCAGUUGUGUAAACAAUCUCAAUGACAGUGCAGAAAGUGCCUCCUCAGUUGCUGCUGCCUUGAAAGAACUCAUCUUGAAGGACAAUAUAUACAAUGUCAUUUAAUGGAUCAUCGUGUUAAUAUGAAGAAGAUAUUGGUGGCAUGCUACAAUGGCUGAACCUCAAGCUACCCAAUUAAACAUGUUAUAACGAUAGACAGUUACUUUGAAUAAGCCUCGGGAAAGACUACUUUAUAGGAUUAAGAAUGAUGUAGCUCUCGUGUCUUACCUCUGAAGCCUUUGGUUUUAUUCAUGUAGUAGAUACAAUAUGUGAGCAGAACUGUUUGGUAUAAUUACCCCUUAUUUUGAUAAUUAUUCUUAGGUUCUCUUGUUUUUCUCACUCCACAAAACCCAAAGCUAAAUUCCAAUUUGAUCUGUGAGUCAGCCAUGUCCUGACUUGGAUCAACCCAGAGGUUGUUUCAGGGUU
Molecule: long non-coding RNA, 2562 nt
Filed under: Actinia tenebrosa (Australian red waratah sea anemone)
Lineage: Eukaryota; Metazoa; Cnidaria; Anthozoa; Actiniaria; Actiniidae
Description: uncharacterized LOC116303253
Source: RNAcentral